This is a transfer RNA of 95 nucleotides. It matches the Rfam family "tRNA". From Rfam's summary of the family: Transfer RNA (tRNA) molecules are approximately 80 nucleotides in length. Their secondary structure includes four short double-helical elements and three loops (D, anti-codon, and T loops). Further hydrogen bonds mediate the characteristic L-shaped molecular structure. tRNAs have two regions of fundamental functional importance: the anti-codon, which is responsible for specific mRNA codon recognition, and the 3' end, to which the tRNAs corresponding amino acid is attached (by aminoacyl-tRNA synthetases). tRNAs cope with the degeneracy of the genetic code in two manners: having more than one tRNA (with a specific anti-codon) for a particular amino acid; and 'wobble' base-pairing, i.e. permitting non-standard base-pairing at the 3rd anti-codon position. The record is from Rfam.
GGGGUGAUAGCUCAGUUGGGAGUAGCGUACGACUGAAGUGAACUUUGGUCAAUUCUAAAAUCGUAAGGUCGCCGGUUCAAUCCCGGCUCGCCCCA